RNAcentral lists this ribosomal RNA (301 nucleotides) under uncultured bacterium. Its description in RNAcentral is "partial 16S ribosomal RNA". It matches the Rfam family "Bacterial small subunit ribosomal RNA", at positions 509 to 809 of the family's 1533-position model. The record is from RNAcentral.
CAGUCGCCGCGGGAAUACAGAGGAUGCAAGCGUUAUCCGGAAUGAUUGGGCGUAAAGCGCACGUAGGCGGCUAUUCAAGUCAGGGGUGAAAGCCCGGGGCUCAACCCCGGAACUGCCUUUGAAACUAGAUGGCUUGAAUCUUGGUGAGGCGAGUGGAAUUCCGAGUGUAGAGGUGAAAUUCGUAGAUAUUCGGAAGAACACCAGUGGCGAAGGCGACUCGCUGGACAAGUAUUGACGCUGAGGUGCGAAAGCGUGGGGAGCAAACAGGAUUAGAUACCCCCGUAGUCCCUGUCUCUUAUAA